This 67-nucleotide transfer RNA is filed under the name Paralichthys lethostigma (southern flounder). Its description in RNAcentral is "tRNA-Ser". Lineage: Eukaryota; Metazoa; Chordata; Actinopteri; Pleuronectiformes; Paralichthyidae. The record is from RNAcentral. RNAcentral also lists the same sequence under 1 other name.
GAGAGAGGCUCGCAGCAAUGAAGACUGCUAAUCUUCAUGACCUAGGUUGAACUCCUGGGCUCACUCG